Molecule: ribosomal RNA, 265 nt
Filed under: uncultured Actinomycetes bacterium
Lineage: Bacteria; Bacillati; Actinomycetota; Actinomycetes
Description: uncultured actinobacterium partial 16S ribosomal RNA
Rfam family: Bacterial small subunit ribosomal RNA
Source: RNAcentral
GACGAACGCUGGCGGCGUGCUUAACACAUGCAAGUCGAGCGCUGAAGCUCCUUUUUGGGGGGUGGAUGAGCGGCGAACGGGUGAGUAACACGUGGGCGACCUGCCCUCAGCUCUGGGAUAAGCUUGGGAAACUGGGUCUAAUACCGGAUAUGACCUGCCGUUGCAUGAUGGUGGGUGGAAAGUCUGUCCUUUGGUGGGCAGUUCGGCUGGGGGAUGGGCCCGCGGCCUAUCAGCUUGUUGGUGGGGUGAUGGCCUACCAAGGCGA